This is a small nuclear RNA of Suricata suricatta (meerkat), 103 nucleotides long. Lineage: Eukaryota; Metazoa; Chordata; Mammalia; Carnivora; Herpestidae. The record is from Ensembl.
GUACUCACUUCAGCAGUCCAUAUACUAAAAUGGGAAUGACAGAAGACUAGCAAGGCCCCUGUGCAGUGGUGACCUGCAAGUUCAUGAAGUGUUCGAGAUUUUU